MicroRNA precursor from Oryza sativa Indica Group (long-grained rice), 204 nucleotides. It matches the Rfam family "MIR812 microRNA precursor family". The record is from Rfam. NCBI's taxonomy places the organism in Eukaryota, Viridiplantae, Streptophyta, Magnoliopsida, Poales, Poaceae.
UAUAAGUGUGGUUGUGAUUUUUUUUUCUCCAACAUUUGAGCAUCCGUCUUAUUUAAGAAAAAAAUAUGAUUAGUAUUUUUAUUGUUAUUAGAUGAUAAAACAUGAAUAAUACUUUAUGUGUGACUUUUAUAAUUUGUUUUUAAAUUUUUUUAAAUAAGACGGACGGUCAAAUGUUAAACAUAGAAACCCACACCUGCACUUAUU